This 869-nucleotide ribosomal RNA is filed under the name uncultured archaeon. Its description in RNAcentral is "bacterial SSU rRNA". It matches the Rfam family "Archaeal small subunit ribosomal RNA", at positions 1 to 878 of the family's 1478-position model. The record is from RNAcentral.
CUCCGGUUGAUCCCGCCGGACCUGACUGCUAUCGGAUUGGUACUAAGCCAUGCGAGUCGUUGUAGCAAUACAAGGCGGACGGCUCAGUAACACGUAGUCAACCUAACCUAUGGACGUGGAUAACCUCGGGAAACUGAGAAUAAACCGCGAUAGAUCAUUAUGCCUGGAAUGGCUUAUGGUUCAAACAAUUUAUUGCCGUAGGAUGGGACUGCGGCCUAUCAGCUUGUUGGUGAGGUAAUGGCCCACCAAGGCUAUAACAGGUACGGGCUCUGAGAGGAGAAGCCCGGAGAUGGGUACUGAGACACGGACCCAGGCCCUAUGGGGCGCAGCAGGCGAGAAACCUUAGCAAUGUGCGAAAGCACGACUAGGUUAAUCCGAGUGAUUUCUGUUGAAGAAAUCUUUUGUCAGUCGUAAAACCACAGACGAAUAAGGGGUGGGCAAGUCUGGUGUCAGCCGCCGCGGUAAUACCAGCACCUCGAGUGGUCAGGAGGUUUAUUGGGCCUAAAGCAUCCGUAGCCGGCUACGCAAGUCUCCGGUUAAAUCCAGCUGCUCAACAGAUGGGCUGCCGGAGAUACUACAUAGCUAGGGAGCGGGAGAGGUAGACGGUAUUCUGUGGGUAGGGGUAAAAUCCACUGAUCCAUAGAGGACCACCAGUGGCGAAGGCGGUCUACCAGAACGCGUUCGACGGUGAGGGAUGAAAGCUGGGGGAGCAAACCGGAUUAGAUACCCGGGUAGUCCCAGCUGUAAACGAUGCAAACUCGGUGAUGCAUUGGCUUAUGGCCAAUGCAGUGCCGCAGGGAAGCCGUUAAGUUUGCCGCCUGGGAAGUACGGACGCAAGUCUGAAACUUAAAGAAUUNGNCGGGGGAGCA